RNAcentral lists this ribosomal RNA (533 nucleotides) under uncultured bacterium. RNAcentral describes it as "bacterial SSU rRNA". It matches the Rfam family "Bacterial small subunit ribosomal RNA", at positions 778 to 1319 of the family's 1533-position model. The record is from RNAcentral.
AUAGAUACCCGGGUAGUCCACGCCGUAAACGAUGUCGACUUGGAGGUUGUUCCCUUGAGGAGUGGCUUCCGGAGCUAACGCGUUAAGUCGACCGCCUGGGGAGUACGGCCGCAAGGUUAAACUCAAAUGAAUUGACGGGGCCCGCACAAGCGGUGGAGCAUGUGGUUUAAUUCGAUGCAACGCGAAGAACCUUACCUACUCUUGACAUCCAGAGAACUUUCCAGAGAUGGAUUGGUGCCUUCGGGAACUCUGAGACAGGUGCUGCAUGGCUGUCGUCAGCUCGUGUUGUGAAAUGUUGGGUUAAGUCCCGCAACGAGCGCAACCCUUAUCCUUUGUUGCCAGCGGUCCGCCGGGAACUCAAGGAGACUGCCAGUGAUAAACUGGAGAAGUGGGGAUGACGUCAAGUCAUCAUGGCCCUUACGAGUAGGGCUACACACGUGCUACAAUGGCGUAUCAAAGNGAAGCGACCUCGCGAGAGCAAGCGGACCUCAUAAAGUCGUCGUAGUCCGGAUUGGAGUCUGCAACUCGACUCC